CAUCAUUUUCCAUUCAUAACAUUUUAUAUUAUUCAGAAAGACUAAAAUGUCCUCAUUGAGACAAUGAGUUAUCGUGUCUUCUUCUUCCUUAUUCUCAAUAGAUCUGAUUUUCUCAUCUCGCCGGAUCUCGUCAUCUCACCAGACUCUCGUGCUUCACCGGUCUCUUGUCGCACCAGUCUCUCGUAGCUUCGUCGAUCUCUCGUAACUUUACCGGUCUCUCGUCGCCUUGCAACGCCUCGCGUUUUGCUGUCGGUGAUGAUGUUGUAUUUGAUGGUACGAUAACGACCUCUGUUCAUCCAUCUCGUUAAUCUCCAUUUGAUCUUCUUAGGUUUAUGUCUCGAUUGAUUCAUUGUUUCAGUUUCAGAUUGAGUAUAUUUGGUUGUUUCGUUGUAUUUUUAAGUAUAUUGUUCAUAAAUUUAGAUUAGAUGAACGAUUAGGUUGUAACAACUCCAUUAUUUGAACAAUUAGGAUGAUUAGAUGAACGAUUAGAUUGUAACUCACUCAUUUGUGAUUGUCUAUUUUCGUACAACAAAUAGAGAAAUAGGUAAAAUUUCUAUUAACCUUGUGAACUAUCAAACCGAAUAAAAAAUUAAAGAACAUUAAAACUUCCGGAACCGGAUUUCUAAAUAUAGUUUUCAUGCAGAUCAAACUCGUCUGCUAUGCUUGCUGAGCAAUUGAUUAAAAUAUUUUAACCCUAUAAGAUAAAAUCUUCUGUAAUCCACAUUAGCAAAUAGUAUGUCUACAUCUGUUAUGCGUGAAUUCACGUUAUCCAAAAGUCUCAUUAUCUUAAAUUCUCGUCCCGUAUUUUAUGAGGAAUUGUUAAGAUAAUGACUUUUAUUUUUAGUAUUACUCAUUAUAUUCCCGUACCCGUAAUACUAUGUACUCAGUAAGCCUCUCCUCUUACUACAUCCCCCCCUGGUUUCAUGGAAAGAGACCAUACCAUUCACAUCAGCUUACUUACAGGAGAAGUAAGAUCUGAUGCUUCAGUCUUCAAAUGUCAAAGAGAUUCGUGGGAGCUUCUUCGGGAGUGACAGUGAAGGGGAAAGGCCAGCCGAGAGGACGCUGAGCUGCAAGUGGCUUGACUGGAUAAAGAGAUUGGUAAAGUUGGUUGGUAACUUGGCAAAGACGCAAGCGCAGCAUUACUGUUUGACAACAUAGUAUCAGUAGUAGUAACAGUCCUAAAAUCGAGACCGUCAUACAUAAUAAUAUAAUGUACUGAUUCGAUUAAUUCGUUUGAA
This 1238-nucleotide long non-coding RNA is filed under the name Capsella grandiflora. Its description in RNAcentral is "long non-coding RNA (CGRA_LNC001277)". The record is from RNAcentral. Lineage: Eukaryota; Viridiplantae; Streptophyta; Magnoliopsida; Brassicales; Brassicaceae.